This 557-nucleotide ribosomal RNA is filed under the name Sphingomonas sp. LDB-B066. RNAcentral describes it as "bacterial SSU rRNA". It matches the Rfam family "Bacterial small subunit ribosomal RNA", at positions 102 to 694 of the family's 1533-position model. Lineage: Bacteria; Pseudomonadati; Pseudomonadota; Alphaproteobacteria; Sphingomonadales; Sphingomonadaceae. The record is from RNAcentral.
ACGGGUGCGUAACGCGUGGGAAUCUGCCCCUUGGUUCGGAAUAACAGUUGGAAACGACUGCUAAUACCGGAUGAUGACGUAAGUCCAAAGAUUUAUCGCCGAGGGAUGAGCCCGCGUAGGAUUAGGUAGUUGGUGUGGUAAAGGCGCACCAAGCCGACGAUCCUUAGCUGGUCUGAGAGGAUGAUCAGCCACACUGGGACUGAGACACGGCCCAGACUCCUACGGGAGGCAGCAGUGGGGAAUAUUGGACAAUGGGCGAAAGCCUGAUCCAGCAAUGCCGCGUGAGUGAUGAAGGCCUUAGGGUUGUAAAGCUCUUUUACCCGGGAUGAUAAUGACAUAACCGGGAGAAUAAGCUCCGGCUAACUCCGUGCCAGCAGCCGCGGUAAUACGGAGGGAGCUAGCGUUAUUCGGAAUUACUGGGCGUAAAGCGCACGUAGGCGGCUUUGUAAGUAAGAGGUGAAAGCCCAGAGCUCAACUCUGGAAUUGCCUUUUAGACUGCAUCGCUUGAAUCAUGGAGAGGUCAGUGGAAUUCCGAGUGUAGAGGUGAAAUUCGUAGA